RNAcentral lists this ribosomal RNA (403 nucleotides) under Verrucomicrobiota bacterium. Its description in RNAcentral is "Verrucomicrobia bacterium partial 16S ribosomal RNA". It matches the Rfam family "Bacterial small subunit ribosomal RNA", at positions 355 to 776 of the family's 1533-position model. Lineage: Bacteria; Pseudomonadati; Verrucomicrobiota. The record is from RNAcentral.
UGGGGAAUAUUGCACAAUGGGGGAAACCCUGAUGCAGCGACGCCGCGUGAGCGAAGAAGGUUUUCGAAUCGUAAAGCUCUGUCCUAUGAGAAGAUAAUGACGGUAUCAUAGGAGGAAGCCCCGGCUAAAUACGUGCCAGCAGCCGCGGUAAUACGUAUGGGGCGAGCGUUGUCCGGAAUUAUUGGGCGUAAAGGGUACGUAGGCGGUCUAUUAAGUCAGGUGUGAAAGCGUGAGGCUUAACCUCAUUAAGCACUUGAAACUGAUAGACUUGAGUGAAGGAGAGGAAAGUGGAAUUCCUAGUGUAGCGGUGAAAUGCGUAGAUAUCAGAAGGAAUACCGGUGGCGAAGGCGACUUUCUGGACUAUUACUGACGCUCAGGUACGAAAGCGUGGGGAGCAAACAGG